UAGCUCAAGUCAGGGGAGGUGUAGCUCAAGUCAGGGGAGGUGUAGCUCAAGUCAGGGGAGGUGUAGCUCAAGUCAGGGGAGGUGUAGCUCAAGCCAGGGGAGGUGUAGCUCAAGCCAGGGGAGGUGUAGCUCAAGCCAGGGGAGGUGUAGCUCAAUUCAGGGGAGGUGUAGCUCAAGUCAGGGGAGGCGUAGCUCUACGAAAAGUAAUUGCACAAAUUGCCUAUUAAUUGGCAGAGAAUGCUAUUUAUAUACUGAACAAAAAUAUAAAGGCAACAUGUAAAGUGUUGUUCCAAUUUUUCACGAGCUGAAAUAAAAGAUUCCAGAAAUGUUCCAUACACACACAAAAAAAGCUUAUUUCUCUCAUUUUGUGCACAAAUUUGUUUACAUACCUGUUAGUGAGCAUUUCUCCAUUGCCAAGACAAUUCAUCCACCUGACAGGUGUGGCAUCUCAAGAAGCGGAUUAAACAGCACGAUCAUCACACAGGUGCACCUUGUGCUGGGGACAAUAAAAGGCCACUCUAAAAUGUGCAGUUUUGUCACACAACACAACGCUACAGAUGUCUCAAGUUUUGAGGGAGUGUGCAAUUGGCAUGCUGACUGCAGGAAUAUCUACCAGAGUUGUUGCCAGAUAAUUGAAUGUUAAUUUCUGUACCAUAUGCCACCUCCAACGUCGUUCUUGAGAAUUUGGCGGAACGUCCGACCAGCCUCACACCCGCAGACCAUGUAUAAACGUGUUCACCUGCAGGAUUGAGACCAGCCACCUGGACAGCUGAUGAAACUGAGUAUUUCUGUCUAUAAUAAAGCCCUUU
Molecule: long non-coding RNA, 809 nt
Organism: Oncorhynchus tshawytscha (Chinook salmon)
Lineage: Eukaryota; Metazoa; Chordata; Actinopteri; Salmoniformes; Salmonidae
Source: Ensembl